UGGAACUUAGAAUUACUUAAUGUUCUGUGACAUAAACAGAAAUGAUUGAACACGAUGUUCAAUCAAGCCGCCACUGAGCCAUGGAUGGCGAAUUGGCGGCGGUUUCGUACGAAGUGAUGGAGUGUAUCGGAACAUUUAGUAAUUCUUAGUUC
This 152-nucleotide non-coding RNA is filed under the name human gut metagenome. The record is from RNAcentral.